Molecule: long non-coding RNA, 4325 nt
Organism: Alligator mississippiensis (American alligator)
Lineage: Eukaryota; Metazoa; Chordata; Crocodylia; Alligatoridae
Exons: 2
Source: RefSeq, a predicted model, not a curated record
UCAGAAUAUUAGGUAUUCACAAGGCAGGUCACUUGUGCGAGCAGGAGACUAAUGAAUAGUGAAGACUGACAGCCUUGAUGGAAAAAAAGGGGCAGCUGAUAUUGUAAGAGAGCAUUUUAAAAACAAGCAUAUGUAAACAGUCUUGAAAGUGAAAGAGAGAACCCUGUGAUUUAUGAAUUUUCCUCUCUGCAGAAUUCACUCCUGCCAUCUACAGAAGUCUCCAAAGGUAGUGACACUAUCCAGACACUGCUAAGAAAUAUAGAAGACUACAGGUGGCAAUCUCUUCUCCUUUGUUAAAUAUUCUUUAACUGCACUCCUGAAAUGGCGUUGUAUUCUUUUCUACUGACAGCUUAAAUUUGAGCUGGUGACAUUUUCACCUUGUAGAUGAUUCAUUUGCAGUAAAUUGUGUUUAAAAAGUUAACAUUUGCCAUGCUGUGAUAUUGGAGAUACCACAACUAUUUUCUGUUGAGUACAGGAGAGAGCUGUGCUAUAGCACAAGCUAUAGUUUAUGAGAAAUGCUACCAUUAAAAACAGCAAUUGGUAUACCUGUAUUAAAAAGUGUGGGAUUCUGAAUAUAACUAUUAAAAUUAAUAUUCUAAGGCUUUUGUUUCAGCUAAUGUCUUGGCAGAGGUCCAUUGUAAUUAAGGAUUUACUACAAAUAUUUAGUUGAACAGGGAGACCAACAUUUUUCAUGCUGUUCUUCAUCCCAUGUUCUUUUGUUGUUAGCACUCGCUUUGUUCUUCUUUAACUCAAUUUUAUGCUGGAGAUCUGAGUCCAGGUACACACAGAUCAGGUUAGAAAAAUGCUACAAAAUACUCAGGAUUUCUUUCUUAAGCUGUGUGCACUAACUCUUAUUUGCCAAAAAUGCCACUCAAUUUCCUUUUCUUUUUUUUAAACAACCAACUAUCCCUUAACUGCAAAUAUUGAUUUAUUUUUCUUGCCUCUUCUACAUAAGGAUCCCUGUGAACGGUGUUCAAAGGUUUCUCUUGCUAACAUAGGAAGUAAGUACCUUUUUAUGAGCUUUGUUUCUCAAAGUUCACUUGUCGGUUGUCUGAGGUCAGGCAGUGACAGAAAAGGGAAAUAUGAAGAGAGAAUGAUAGAAUUUAGAGAUGGAAAACAUCUAUCAUGUCAUCUAAUCAGUCAAUCUUCAGCCAAUGCCAGACUGACCUGUAUUGUUAAUGUAUUAAUGAUUUCUAAAUCUAAUUUUUAAAAGUGCACAGUGCAGGGCAAAGGCUUCCAUUACACCCUUGCAGAAACUUUUACACAGAGUAAAUUCCCCAGUUCUUAUUUUCAUCUCACUAUUCCUAGUUACUCCUCUAUUAUGUGAGUGAUUUUUUAAUAUCCUUGAUAAUUUUUUCCUACUGUUCUCUUUCCUCUUAAGUAAACACGUGCAGCUUCCUAACAGCAGCCCCAGUUCUGCUAGGUACUGUAUGUGCAGAAGUGUAGGAGUCUGCUGCUACCAAGAAACAUGCAGGAUAAUGGCUGAAGUUUGUUCUGCAAAAUCCUUCCUAUUUGUCAGUCUUUUUUUGGUAAUAUAGUACCUAGAUCUGAAUUAUACAUUUUGGAAAGCUCACCCCAUAGCUCUAUAACGAGUGGAUGUUAUUUUCCCAAUCCAGGAUGGCGUAACUUAACACAGUGUUGAAACUGAAACCAUGUUGUGGUCUCUUUUGGCAUUACAAUUUGUCGUCUUUAAAUAUUUGCCCUUUAGAUUUGUUUUCCAACCUGAAUUUCCUUUUUUGCUUUCUUCAGUGUGCAUAUCUAUGCUAGUUUUUCUUUAUUAUUUCUCUUUUUGCUGGUGGGUGUUUGCAAUGCAUUCUAAUUUAGUAUCAUUUAGGAACUGCAUUAACAUGAUUAGUAUCUUUGACAGACUGACAACUAAAAUGGACUAUUUGCAUAAAGGGAAGUCACAGGUAUCAACUGUGAGUACCAUUACUUUAGUAUCUGAGCAUAAUAGAAUCAUAGAAUAGAAGGACCAGAAGGGACCUGUAAGAUCAUUGAGUCUGGUCCCCUGUCAUGGGCAGGAGGUGAUUGGGCUCAAACGAGUUCAAUGAGAUGCCUGUCCAGCCUCCUCUUAAUCUUUAAUGUCAUUAUCCUGAAAACACCUAGUGAAAUCGGGAACUGCUAUUACCACAUUUUAUGGAUAGGGAACUGAGACAAAGUGAUUAACAAAGGGACUUAGGCACUGCAUUACUCAGGGUGCAUCUACACGUGCCCCUAUGGCACUGUUACUGCAGUACCAAUGGCACCUUCCUCUUGGAAGUACUAAAUGACAGCAAAGUAACAGCCCAUACUGUGCCAUGCUGGUGACUCACAGUUAUUUUUAGCCACUAUGUCACCAUAGCAACAUGCUAUAUUGAGGGAACUCAUUGCUACAGUGAUAUAGCAGUGGCGUCACGGUUUUUGCCUGCAGAUGCUAAAUCGCCAUAGUGCAUUGCUAUGGCAAUGUAGCAUUAAGUGUAGACAUGCCCUCAGUAUUGUAAAGAGUAAUUUGUUGAUGCCUAGCCCUUGUUACACACACCUUGUUAGACAGGCCUUGUUAAGGCCUUGUUACACAGUAAGUUUAGGUGGCUUCUGGAGCUCUUAAUCCCUAGGAUGAAUACAUGUUAACACCUUUUAAGUGGUUUAAAGCACUUGUUAUCGACUCCAGGGCCAAAGUUAUACCACUCUAGGGCAAGAUUAUCUCUAAUCUGCCUAAUAGGUCAGCUCACCCCCCAGCUGUGGGGCAGACUCCGCCAAAAAAAGGAUCAGGCCUCUCAUCACGUCUGCCUUCAGCAGGCACCUGCAGCCACCAGGACACCUAGGGACACCUGGGAAUGAGCUGGUUUGCCCCUGGGGCAGCACAGGGAGGUUCAUGCUUGUGGAUGUAGGUGCCUAAAUUCCCCCUAAAUCUCAUUUUAGGUGUCCAGGUUGGAUUGAGUUCUAUGUACUUUUGCCAAGGUCAAACUGGCACUUUGUGUUAGGGCACAGACCUGACUCUGGGUCUCAAGUCCUAAAUUAGUGACUGAAUUACUGGACCACCCUGUAGACUGCAAUGGGAUCGGUGUCUGCUGCUCUUCCUUUUGACCAGGAAAGAAGAGAGGAUGGCAGGAUCUUUCUCUAUGGCUAGGAACAUACAUUACACAUAAACUGGUUUAAGUGAUCAGAAACUGGUUUAAACCUGUAACAAAACAGAUAUUCAGUGCACAUAAACCAGUUUGAAAAUGGCUGAAACCAAUUUGAGAUAAACCUGGUUGAAUGUAGUAUCAGAUUUAACUGAUUUCAGUCAAAUCGGUUUAUGCAAUGUUUGUCCCAGACCCCUUGUUAGUUUAAGAUAACCAGACUCCCCCAUCAUCCCAGUAUGCUCUCUGGGCUGUACAGGGCUGUCUGCUCCAUAGCAGAGCUGGCUCCUACCCUCUGCUCCCUGGCUGGAGCUCCAGCAGAGACUGCAGGCACAGUAGGGUUUGCCUGGCUUCCCCCUGCCCUAGUCCUCCCCACCCUCCUUGCUGCUCAAGCAGGAAUCCCCCCUCCCACCUUCCACAGUAUGAACCCCAGCCCCACAGACCCGAGGUAUGCGGUGUGCUAGCUAAUGCCAAGAGGUGUCUGUGUGUGUCUCCUGUUUCAUUGGGACAGGCAAACAACAGUGUUGGCUUAGGGCUUUUUGGAGCUAAUCAACAGGUCAGCUGGUAAGCUGUUUAAGAAGUGUUUAAAUGAAUGGAGAGAGGUUAUUGUUUUUCUGAUGAAGUGAUAAACACUGUUAUCAGCUCUCUGUCAGUUUGAUACAGACAGUAUAAAGAAGCAGGGAAGGAGAUUGAAAAGCUCCAUAUCAUCAACAGAUGUAUGCACUGCACCUCCACCCCCGCUUGCCUCAGAGUGGUACCAGGGGUCUGUGGUCUGGCAACACUCACCCUUUGAGCAGCCAAUGGGGAAAAGCCUGGGUUUGGGCAGCUGGGCCUCCCUAAUCAGAAGUCCUGCUGGGGCCUGGCCAUGCCCCCGCCCCCCAGCUCAGUUCUGUGGAAGUGAAGGGAUGGCUGCUUUAGCACCCCCCAGCUUCUAGCCUGAGACACUUCAGGUAUGUGCCUGAGUUUCCUCAGUCCAGAGAGAAUGCUGGUCCAGUUGCAAACCAGUUCAGCCUAGCCAGGUUAGAGUAACCUGCAAAGAUUGAAUCUAUUCAGGCUCAGGCUUUUUGAAUGUCUGUUCCUAGCCUAUAUCCUUAUCCUCAUCUCGCAUUCCCCAUUUCUCUUUCUCUCUUCUAUCUAAUUAUGCAAAUUUGAUUUUUGUAUUUUGUUUGGAAAGUGUUUUCAAAUAUGACCUAUAUUUCUUUUAAAAAUAAAGUUAUUUUGUAAAGG